UGUCGGAGAAAAGACGGGCAAAACACGUUGGCCCGGAUUUAAGGAUUACUGUCAAUGUGUAUGUGCUUGUACACGCUUGCGUGCGACGACCAUUUUGAAUGUAGUCUGGGGGAACGAGGGCGGGCAGGAAGUGUUUGGCCGCGCGAGGCGCUCUGUCCUCGCGUUUCUUCCUGCGGGACCGGAGAGGCCGUGCGUGGGGAAGGAGGUGGGGAGCUCAGCGUGCGAACGAAAUGGCGGCCGCGCGGUUUCACCGUAUCUCUUCCAGACGCUGCAAGCACAGUGCUCUCCACUAGCCUUACUACUCCGCCUUCACAUUCGCUCCGUUUGCACUUUAAAUUCAUGAGGGAAUUGGAAGCUACAGCCACCAAAGAAGCUGAGAAGACGCAAAACAGGGAUAUAGUGCAAGGAAAGGAAGAACAGUUGAUGGAAGAAAGGAAAAAGAGAGAGGACGAGAAGA
Long non-coding RNA from Scleropages formosus (Asian bonytongue), 457 nucleotides. RefSeq lists it as uncharacterized. NCBI's taxonomy places the organism in Eukaryota, Metazoa, Chordata, Actinopteri, Osteoglossiformes, Osteoglossidae. The record is from RefSeq and is a predicted model, not a curated record. The transcript is spliced from 3 exons.